CCGGGCUGGGAGACCCGCGCUGGGGAGAAGGUGCGGGGACCGGGCGGGCCGCUGGGGCACAGGCCGGGAAAUGAGCGCUUGGAAAUCUGUCUGGGAGCGGACUCAUGAUCGAGGGACUACAGGAGCCGUGUGAUCGCUGGACCUGGCCCUGCGACCCCGGCCAUGGGCCAGACCUCGGUGUCCACGCUGUCCCCGCAGCCCGGCAGCGUUGACGGACUGGACAAAGCUUCUAUAGCAAACUCAGAUGGCCCCCCAGCAGGUUCCCAAACACCUCCCUUCAAGAGAAAGGGGAAACUCUCCACCAUCGGGAAAAUCUUUAAGCCUUGGAAAUGGAGGAAAAAGAAGACCAGUGACAAAUUUAGAGAAACCUCAGCAGUGUUAGAAAGGAAGAUAUCCACAAGACAAAGUAGAGAGGAGCUGAUAAGAAGGGGAGUUCUUAAGGAAUUGCCUGAUCAAGAUGGAGAUGUAACAGUUAACUUUGAAAGUUCAAACGGGCACAUGAUAGCCAUCGGAGAGGAAUCUACCCAUGAGGAAAAUGUAGUAAAGUCUGAAGAAGGUCAUGGCUCUGUAUCUGAAAAAACACCACCUCUGGAGGAAAAGGCAGAAGAUAAGAAAGAGAACACUGAAAACCACUCUGAAACACCGGCAGCUCCUGCUCUUCCUCCUUCUGCUCUUCCUAAGCCUAAACCUAAACCUAAACCCCCCAAAACACCUGUGCCUCCAAAAGGGGCCACUGCGGGGCCCAGCCACAAAGGUGACGAAGUGCCUCCCACUAAAAAAAUUACCAAGGCUCCUGGUAAGCAGGUCCCCGUCCCUCCACCCAAGCCAACAAGCCGAAAUGCGACCCGAGAGGCUGCUGGUUCCUCUCAUUCAAAAAAACCAACUGGCUCCAAAGCAUCAGCUUCACCAUCUACUUCAUCCACUUCAUCUCGUCCCAAAGCUUCAAAGGAGACAGUUUCUAGCAAAACAGGGACAACGGGGACCACAAAGGGCAAGAAAAAAACUGGCAAGCAGCCAGCAACGUCUCGACUGUCCUCAGACACAACCACUUCUGUCACAUCCGACCUUAAAGGAGAACCUUUGGAGACUGAUGUAGAGACUCUCAAACCCGAGCAGACUGUCCCUGGGGCCGAGGAGCAGGCCACGGGCAAAGCCAAGUCCACAGUUCCUCCACCCCCUGUGGCUCCUCCACCUUCUCCCCCUGUUCCUCCUCCACCUCUUGAGGAUCAGUGCAUUAUUGCCUCAGACACUCCAGUGGUCCUGGUCAGCAGUGGAGCUGACCUGUCCGUCUCUGCCUUAGACCCAAGUCAGCUUCUUUGGACAGAAGAGCCGACGAACAGAACCACUCCCCACUCAGGCGCUGGCUUAAGUGUUAGCAGAGAAAACGCAAAAUGUUUCACAACCAAAGACGAGCUGGGGAAGGCAGCACCCCAGCUACUGACUCCUGGGCUGAUGGGAGAAUCUUUGGAAUCCUUCAGUGCCCCAGAGGAUGAAGGCCAAAGGGACUACCAGGCCAAUGAUUCUGACUCCGAUGGGCCUAUCUUGUACACCGAUGACGACGAGGAAGAGGAUGAGGAUGAGGAUGGCAGUGGAGAAAGUGCUUUGGCAAGUAAAAUACGACGAAGGGAUACUCUUGCUAUCAAACUUGGCAACAGACCAUCUAAGAAAGAAUUAGAGGACAAAAACAUCUUGCAGCGUACAUCUGAAGAAGAGAGGCAGGAAAUCCGACAACAGAUUGGAACCAAGUUGGUCAGGAGACUUAGCCAGAGGCCCACAACUGAAGAAUUAGAGCAAAGAAAUAUCCUAAAACAAAAAAAUGAAGAGGAAGAGCAGGAAGCAAAGAUGGAACUUAAACGCAGACUCAGCAGAAAGCUCAGCCUGAGACCCACAGUGGCAGAGCUACAAGCUCGAAGAAUCCUGCGGUUUAACGAGUAUGUAGAAGUCACCGAUUCCCCUGACUAUGACCGCCGGGCAGACAAGCCCUGGGCCAGAUUAACACCUGCGGACAAGGCAGCAAUAAGGAAAGAACUAAAUGAAUUUAAAAGCACAGAAAUGGAAGUUCAUGAAGAGAGUCGACAGUUUACAAGGUUUCAUCGUCCAUAAUGAAGUGCAAGACUAUUUGGAAACAUAAAUUGACCAUCUUUGACGGAAGCCCUGCUUCCUGAAAACCUGAUAUUGCACUGGGACUUGAAUGUGUUUGUUUCCACUGUGGUGAAUGAUGCACGUGACUUGGCUUUGUUGGAAAGUGCUCCUCACCUGUACAGCCCAGAUGGGGCCAACAAGCAAAAGGAAGGAUGCAGUGGUCCUUGCUGCCCAGAAAGUGUAUUGAUGUUCUUCAGGGAGGAGGUUACCGGGCAGCCUUGGCAGUUCCAGUGGGCAUAGUGACCUGGUCUGAUCCUGGUACGUACUUAAAGGAGAGAUUUUACAUGAAGUGAGGUUUUGUGUUUUUUGGUUUUCAUUUUCAUUUUUGUUUUUUGCCUCACAGUUUUACUCCAGAACUACAUUGUUGGUCAUAAUCUUUAUCAAUAUCAUCAGGAUUCUUGCAUGAGUUAAACACAAACACAAUGACUAACAAUCCACAUAAACAAAGCCCGUGGACUUUGGAAAUCACCAUUAGAUUCUACCUGGUAACACUGCAUUCAUUGAGUUCCAAAAGAAUCACCUGUUUAUCCUAUCAACAAAUCAUUUAAUCCACAUGCAAGUACUUGAAUUCCCCCUGUGUAAGUGUAGUCAUACAGCUUAACUUUUCUAAUAAGAUUUGUGAAUACUGCAUUAUGAAGGAAAUGUGGAUUAACUGUGGAUUGUAUGCAUAUUGUUCAUACUUCAGUGAUGGUCACACCCAAGAUAAGAUGAGUUUUAUCUAGGUGAAACAUUAUUAAACUCUACUAACAAUACAGAAACAUAAUUAAACUAUACUAACAAUACAGAAACAUUCUUAUUCGUUGUCGCUUUUUAUCACCAAAACUGAAUACUAAAUAUGUCUUGAAAUUAUUUGGAUGCAUUGUGGCUAGUAGAAUGGAAUUAAUUUAGCCACUAUAAUUUUUUUAAAUAGUAAAAUUUCUAUGUAUUUUUUUUGCAGCAGAGCAGCUCAGAGUUGAUAAAGGUAUUUGUAAGCUUUUAGAUGGUGCUUAAGAAUUCUUAUCUUUUUUAAAAGCAGUAUUUUUUUUUUUUUUUUAAGAGUAAAUUGAAAGGAGUAAAUGAGGCGGAAUGCCACUCCAACCUCAGGUCAAUUUUAUGGUAUUUUGAAAUGCCAAUAAUAUUUGUGCCACUUGCCAAUUUGGGGGGCUUUUUCCUGACUGGAUACUUUUGUUGUAAUUUGACUAUAUCAUUACAUUGCUUAGAAAGCCUCCACAAUGAGAAGUUACCACUGCAAUGCCAACUAGCUUUUGGAAAUAAUCAGAAUUUAUUGAGGGUCAAACCACUUUCGCCACUUAAAAAAAAAAGCACUAAUUUUUCUUUUCUUCUUGAAUAUUUCUUCUGUGGCUUAGAAAUGUGCCAGUGUGUUCCAAACAUUCUGCGCCCAUUUCACCAAAUUUAGUACCUGCAAAAAAUUCCAAACUAGUCAUUUCUUUCUACAUAACAGUGAUUUUAAAUAAGGGACUAUAUGUGUUCUUUUGUUAUUUCAAACUUCAGUUAAAGUGAUAAGAAUGGUAAGCUGUGAUCAUUAUCAAACUGACUGAAAGAUUCCUGAUGUCCAAUGACUGAUCUAUUCCUACGUAUUACACAGGUAUAAUAUCUGUGAGUGUAAAUAACUGGAACUGUACACUGAUUAACAUGACAGUUUCUCUUUUUUGUUGUUCUUAAUCUGUACUGUAUUAUAGUAUGUGGGUAUAAAUAUCUACAAGUAUACACACAUAUGUAUAUGUAUUCCAUGACUGUAUCCUGAAAGAAAGACUAUGUAUUAUCUUUUUUAUUCCGUACUGGUGUUUGUGUUAUUUAAAAAGCAAAA
Cynocephalus volans (Philippine flying lemur) is the source of this 3949-nucleotide RNA transcript. It is a transcript of the gene named phosphatase and actin regulator 2, with no coding region annotated. The record is from RefSeq and is a predicted model, not a curated record. Lineage: Eukaryota; Metazoa; Chordata; Mammalia; Dermoptera; Cynocephalidae. The transcript has 14 exons.